Molecule: transfer RNA, 58 nt
Filed under: Parachtes riberai
Lineage: Eukaryota; Metazoa; Arthropoda; Arachnida; Araneae; Dysderidae
Description: tRNA-Lys
Source: RNAcentral
AGUAUAUUGGCCGAGUUAGGUUUUAAUUUCUUAAAUUAAGUACGAAUGUAAUAAAGUU